RNAcentral lists this long non-coding RNA (3556 nucleotides) under Nicotiana tabacum (common tobacco). RNAcentral describes it as "long non-coding RNA (NTAB_LNC004306)". Lineage: Eukaryota; Viridiplantae; Streptophyta; Magnoliopsida; Solanales; Solanaceae. The record is from RNAcentral.
UGAAAACCUCGAAAGAGGCGGCCUAGGCAAAAGUUAGGAUAUUAAAAAAAACUCACCCAUUUCGAACUGCGGAAUGACUUGAUCCUCUUCACCGAGGUACGUAGACAACUUAGAGUUUCAUUCUAAGUUUAGUCAUAUGAAUUCAAAAAUACAUAUUACCCAAGGCAUUAUUCAAAUGAGGCAUGAUGGAAUAUAAUUCACUUGAUUGACACUUGAAAAUUAGGUGUACAUGUAUUCUUUCGUUGAACUCUCUGUUUUAUCUUGAUGGCUCAAUGAGGCAACCCUUCCAUGUCGAAUUAAGGUGUUUGAUGGAAUGAUUGUAGUUAUUUUAAUAAGAGGCUAAAUAUUCAAGUUGAAGGCUCCAAUUCUAAGUCAAGUUGAUUUUGUCAAGUCUAUUACAUCAUCGAUUUGAAGUAUUCAAGCCCGUUAGGUCUUAAAGUUGCAGUAUUCAAGUCCGCCAAGUCUUCAAAUUCAUAAAUUAUUUAAAAAAACUCACUCAUUAUAAACUGCAUAAUGACUUGAUCCUCUUCACCGAGAUUGGUAUCUUUGAGACAAUUAUAGACUUUAGCAAGCUGCAAAGUUUUCAAGACCGUCAUGUCUUUGAGCUGAAUUCUUCAAGUUUGCUAAGUCGUCAAGUUGAAUUCUUUCUAUUUUCUAUAUCAUUGAUUUGAAGUCUCUAGCAUGCUAAAUCUUCAAGUUGAAGUUGAGUUAAAUUCUUCUAGUCCGCUAAGUUUUCAACUAUCCAAGUCUGCCACGUCUUCAAGUUGAAUUCUUCAAAGUGGCUACUUCUUCAAGGUUAACUCUUAUAAUUUAACCUUCAAGUUGAAUUCUUAAAAUCUACCUAAAUCUUCGAGUUGAAGUCUUCAUAUCCACCAAGUCUUCUAAAUUUUUCAAAUAUGCUAAGUGAUGAUGAGACCUUCGAAUUCGUCAAAUCUUCAAGUUAAAGUCUUCAAUUUUGGGAAGUCCUCAAAUUGAGUCAUCAAGUUAAAGUCUUCAAAUUCAUCAAGUCUAGUUAAAGCCUUCGAAUUCGCCAAAAGUUAAAAGUCUUCAAUUCUGCAAAAUUUUCAAGUUGAAUCAUCAAGUUCAGUCUUCAAAUCCACUAAGUCUUCAAGUCGAAAUCUUCAAGUAGAAGCCUUCAAGUCUGCCAUGUCUUCAAGUUGAAAUCUAUAAGUUAAAUUCUUUCAAGCACCAAGUCUUUAAUUGAAAGCCAAUAAGAAGCCCCCAUAAUAGUCUUGAAGUCUUCAAAUUGAUAUACCCUUCAAUUCUUUAGUUGGAAGUUUCACUAUAUCUCCAAGUGUAUGGUAAAAACCUUUGAUAUAGUCUGCACCAUCUUUAAAUAUUUAUAUCUUGAAUUAUUUGAAGGAAGGGUUUAAUAUAUCUUCAUAUCUUCAACUGGAAGUAUUUAAAAUGUUGGCUUGCAUGACUUGAUUUAUGUUGUAGAAAAAAGAUUUUUCGACUGUGUGGUUAUCUUUACUAAAGUAGUAUCUUUGGAAUUGAUUUCUUCUUCUACCUGCAAAAAAAAAAGGAAGGAAAAAAACCAAAUAUAUAGGAGAUCAUAAAAUUACCUAUGAAGAUUGAAGUUGAAGAGAUAUUCUUAGUGGUCAGCUUUUUGAAAAAAAAUCAUGCUUCAUACAAUCUUGAUUCAUGCAUCUAGAAAUGAGGACGAGUUUUCGUUCUUAUGCACCAAAAGGUCAAAUCUUUUGGCGAUAAAGUAAAAUCUGCAAGUUAGACUCUAUAAUGAUCUUCGUCUUGGAUAAAAUAUAGUCUUCAGCUUAGACGAUGUAGUGGUCUUAGCCUCGGACAAAGUAAAAUCUUCAGCUUAGAUGGUUGUCUUCGCCUUUGCAAAAUAGUCUUCAGCUUAGACGGUGUAAUGGUCUUAGUCUCGGACAAAGUAAAGUAUUCAGCUUAGAUAGUUGUCUUCGCCUUGGACAAAAUAUAGUCUUCAGCUUAGACGGUAUAAUGGUCUUAUCUUCAGACAAAGUAAAGUCUUCAGCUUAGAUGGUUGUCUUUUGCCUUUGCAAAAUAUAGUCCUCAGCUUAGCCGGUGUAAUAGACUUUGCCUCGUAUAAAGUAAAGUAUUUGGCUCAGACGGUGUAAUGGUCUUCACCUCAGACAAAGUAAAUUUUUGCCUCAGACGGUGUAAUGAUCUUCACCUCAGACAAAGUAAAAUCUUUGGAUCAGACGGUGUGAUGGUCUUCGCCUCAGAUAAAGAAAAGUCAAAUAUGUAAAUAAAGUAAGAUCUUUGGCUCAAACUGUGUAAUAGUCUUCACCUCAGAUAAAGUAAAUUUUUGCCUCAGACGGUGUAAUGGUCUUUGCCACAUAUAAAGAAAGUCAAAUUCUCAAAUAAAAUGAAGUCUUUAGCUUAGACGGUGUAAUGGUGUUCGCUUCAGAUAAAAUAAAUCUUUGGCUCAGACAAUGUAAUGGUCUUUGCCUCAGAUAAAAGUAAAUUCUUUGGGUUAGAUGAUAUAAUGGUCUUUGCCAUAGAUAAAGAAAGUAAAGUUUUCAAAUAAAAUGAAGUCUUUAGCUCAUACAGUGUAAUGGUAUUCGCUUCGGACAAUAAAUUUUUGGUUUAGACAGUGUAAUGAUCUUUGCCUAAGAUAAGGUAAAAUCUUUAGCUUAGACGGUGUAAUGGUCUAUGCCUCAAAUAAAAUGAAGUUAAAUCUUCAAACAAGAUAAAGUCAAUUUCUUGACGGUGUAAUGAUCUUCACCUCAGGCAAAGUAAAAUCUUUGGCUCAGACGGUGUAAUGGUUUUCGCCUUAGAUAAAGUAAAUUUUUGGCUCAGACGGUAUAAUGGUCUUUGUCUCGGAUGAAGUAAAAUCUUCAGCUUAAACAGUGUGAUGAUUUUCGCAUGGGACAAAGUAAAGUUUUUGAAUUAGACGGUGUAAUAGUCUUCACAUAUAUCAUGCAAUGUAUAGUCUUCGACUUAAAUGGUGUAAUGAUCUUUAUCUCGGACGUUGUAAAUUCUUCUACUUAGACAUCGCAAAAUCUUUGCCUUGACCAAGAAAUAAUCUUCGCCUCAAAUGGGAUAAAGUAAUUCAAAGAACUUAUAUAAUAACUAUUGUUUCCUCCUUUGAACCUGAAAAGAAAUGGCAACAAAGAGAGAAUAAAAGAAAUACAAGAGAUGGGAAGGGAUUAAAUUCCUUUCUUUCAAAGAUAAAUGCAGCAUGCAAAAGUGCAGCAAAUUCCACCAAAGAAGCUUCCCGCAAACAAUAAUGAAAGGGAAAAUCCAUACAAGACAAAAGAGAAAUAAAGAAGUCUUACAUGGAAAACUAAUAAAUAAAUUCUCCUAGUUCAAAGGAGUGAACCUGCAAAUUGUGAAGAUGAACUCAAGCUUAUGACAUCGUCAAGGGAAAACAAAUGACAGUGAGUAGAACCCGCAGAAAGAUUGGGAUGCGCUAUGAGUUUGAAGGGACUUGACUCUUAUAUACAUGCCCAAAGGAGUUCUCCUAAUCCAUUAAGAUGUGUAGUGACUAUAAUCUCUUCAACAAAAUGAGAUAUUAUCUCCUAAAAAUAGGAGGGCAGUUGCAUGGGGAGUUAUCCGUUCCCAACAAAAAAAC